Gossypium arboreum is the source of this 404-nucleotide long non-coding RNA. RefSeq lists it as uncharacterized. The transcript is spliced from 2 exons. NCBI's taxonomy places the organism in Eukaryota, Viridiplantae, Streptophyta, Magnoliopsida, Malvales, Malvaceae. The record is from RefSeq and is a predicted model, not a curated record.
GCCGUGAAUGGAAGAAAGAAAACAAAGAAAAAAAUGUUUUGUUCAUCCUUGAACAUCCUUGGCCAAAUAGAGGAAAGAAAGGAAGGGGAGGAGCUUGAGAAAAUCGGCUAUGGUGAUUUGCUAGACAAAGGUCUCAUUGCGAAGCUACAGGCUCGGGGAUCGUCAGCAACUAGUCACACUAUCGCUAUCCACUGUUUGGUACUGCUACGUUUUGGAAUAUCUUAUGGCAUGUAUAGAAUAGACUAGUAGUGAGAGGAUAUCAUGGUUAAUGUAUAGGACUACCCUUUGCUGUUUUUCAAGUACGUUUUGUGAUGUAUGUAUGUACAGCCAUGCGAAAAUGGCUCGUAAAAGUGGAGUAUGGCAUUAGACCAUUUGUGUUUAUGUAUAUAUGUAUGGUUUCAUGA